Molecule: long non-coding RNA, 1043 nt
Filed under: Calidris pugnax (ruff)
Lineage: Eukaryota; Metazoa; Chordata; Aves; Charadriiformes; Scolopacidae
Description: lncRNA (ENSCPUG00000017302.1)
Source: RNAcentral
GAAGCACAGGCGGAAGAGCUCCCGGUUGGCAGCGGCGAGAGCGGAGGAAGCGGAGGCGACCGAGGCGGAGGCCGCGGCCGAGCCCGGUCCCGAAGGGGCGCUGGAGGGUGAGCAGUGCGGGCGGGCGCGCAUACGUAGCGACCCCCGUGGCCGAUCCCACGGUUGAGGGCGCGGUGGGGCGGCGCGAAGUGGGGCGGGCGGGCGGGAGGGCUGGCCCUCUCCUCCCCUGCGGCCGUCCUGCCUGCGGAGCAGGGGUAGCCCGGUGAGGGGGUUGUCCUCCUGGACAGCCCCCCUGGAAGCAGUGGGGUGUCUCAGUGGGUCUGGAAAGGGGUGCUUGGCGCUCCUGGAAGGCUGUCGGGCUGGAGUCCCGUGGGCUGGAGCCCAGCUGCCCGGCCUGUUUCUCACCUAUUUCUCGUUUCAGGGGACGAGCGUCCCUUUGGGAAUCCCGACUCCUUGACCCGACCCCCGAUAAGAGCCUGUAGAGCGGCAGGCAAUUCUUCAUAUAACUUUCUUCAAGAGAAUCCAGUAAAAGAAAAAGCAAAGGCUUAUGACAGUAACGAACCUGAGAAACCAGCAGGGCAUCGACCAAACUUUUAUACACCGUUAAAAGAAAGAAAGACUGACUUCCUUGAGAAAAAUCAAGAGCACUAUUCAACGACAUCACAGAGUAAGUAAAAAAGUGGAUACCUAGGUUUUCCCUGUAAUUAAGUGAAAAGUACAGAAUUCUUUUCCUUUCCUCUGCUUGUGGGUUUUCUUGUGCCCUGGGACAGUCUGUCUGUCUGGGAAGGUGGAAAGAGGCCCAGGAGGCAGAUCCAAAUGGAAGCUGGAGCACAUUCCAGAGCCCUUCUAUGAGGUUAUUCAACUCGCUGACCACAGAAAAUGACCCACUUUUUUUUUUUUCUUUUUUUGGCUCAAUUAGGCAAUGGAGUUGACUCAUGGGACAAUUUGUAAGUGCAGAGCAUGUACUGGUGGCAUUGUGGGGGUGAGCUGAGGAAGGGAACAAAAGGUAGCAGUGAAUGUUAGUUUGUACACAUCGCCUUCCC